Molecule: non-coding RNA, 859 nt
Organism: Rattus norvegicus (Norway rat)
Lineage: Eukaryota; Metazoa; Chordata; Mammalia; Rodentia; Muridae
Source: RefSeq, a predicted model, not a curated record
ACUGGACUUUUGGAAAGAGAGAAAACCUAGGAAACUGAAGUGUAUGUCACAGGAAUGGACCAGGGAAUAGAAUUAUUAUCCAGAAUAAACUCCUCCUCCCCAUGUUCCUAGAUCUUUUCUACCCAUGGCAAGUGCCUGAAUAACGUUCUCCAUUCAGAGCAUGAAACCACUAAAGAAGCAAGAAGAAGUCUCUAGCUUUAGAGUGAUGGAAUAUGUAAAGUUUUCCCCUGUGUCUCAGGAGACACUCCUGGAAAAGGCACUCUCAAAACUGGCCAAUGUAAGGAAAGCUUUUAAGCAAGUAGGCCAAGGCAGUUCUCAGAGACAUCAUCAUUAGGCCUUCCUGAGAAAUCUCUUUUAACCUGGAGAUCCCUAUCUUCUGUGAUGUCACAAGUGUUGUCCUGACAGCAACUGCCUCUCAGAUAUUCCUUCAGAUCCUCUAGGGUUUACUAUUUGGCCUCUAAUUCAGAGUAAACAUCAAUUUGGGAGGGUGAACAAAGAGGAUGAAGAGAUCAGAAAUGGGGAGAACGAAGGAAGCUGGCCUUCUGUCUUGGUAUAAAAAAAGGAAGAAAUACGUGGUCCUUGGUACAGCUCAGUCAAGAAUAUAUGAUCCACAAAUGACAAUGCCAAAUAGACUCCCUCCUGUUCUCAUAACAUACUGAAGUUGAGGUUUCACUGGACCUCAAGCCAUUCCUCUUGCUGCCCAUCACCCAGAAACUAAUGUUUGGCCUGAAGGAAGAAUCAUGGUAAAACAUCCAAAAUCAUCAAGUCUUUCCCUGGACAAACAGGAAGGUGCGCCGAGCUCUUGGAGAAGUUGCUGAACAUCCUAAAGACUUUUGGGCAGAUGGUAAAGUUUCUAGAU